Long non-coding RNA from Zalophus californianus (California sea lion), 632 nucleotides. RefSeq lists it as uncharacterized. The transcript has 4 exons. The record is from RefSeq and is a predicted model, not a curated record. NCBI's taxonomy places the organism in Eukaryota, Metazoa, Chordata, Mammalia, Carnivora, Otariidae.
AACUACUUGAGGAUGCUUGAAACUGAAAGGAAGGUGCCAGUGGAAUAAGGGAGGAAGAUCGUGGACAGUAGGAGGGUAGUCCCUGAGGAGGAUGGAAGAGACUGGAUCCCUCGCACAGGGGAGGAAUUAGCCUUCAGAAGCUAAUCUCAUGGAGAGGUCAACUGCUGAGAGGGAAAUGGGAAAAGGAAGCGAGAAAAGUUUGAAGAGCACGAAGAUUUGAAGUGGCUACUGGAAAGAACUGGACAUACUGCUAAGCAGCACUGAGGACCGAGACUAUUGCUUCGUCUUGAACUGGAGGACAUAAGGCAGCCAUCUACAGGGCCCUGGAAUACAAAACAAUGAGUCCCCACCUGCAGAGCGGCUGCUAAAUAAUCACAUUGAGUCAGUUGCUACAGUGAAACUUGAAACCUGAUCAUUGAAGAAGCUUGCAAUUUAGCAGAAAACAAGGUACACCAGGAUCUUUCACUUCAGCUGCACCUUGAGGAUUCUGGUCUCUUUUUGAAAAUGCCCUGACAUGUCUAGUUAGUUUCGUUGUUAUAAUCCUUUCCUUAAACAAGUUUGUAAAGUUGUUGUAUUUUAAGGAAUAUUAUACUUAAAACUCCUAGGUAACUCACUAUAUCUUAUGAUAUAAC